CCUACGGGGGGCUGCAGUGGGGAAUAUUGGACAAUGGGGGCAACCCUGAUCCAGCCGUGCCGCGUGUGUGAAGAAGGCCCUCGGGUUGUAAAGCACUUUCAGUGAGGAAGAACGCCUGGUGGUUAAUACCCAUCAGGAAAGACAUCACUCACAGAAGAAGCACCGGCUAACUCCGUGCCAGCAGCCGCGGUAAUACGGAGGGUGCGAGCGUUAAUCGGAAUUACUGGGCGUAAAGCGCGCGUAGGUGGCUUGAUAAGCCGGUUGUGAAAGCCCCGGGCUCAACCUGGGAACGGCAUCCGGAACUGUCAAGCUAGAGUGCAGGAGAGGAAGGUAGAAUUCCCGGUGUAGCGGUGAAAUGCGUAGAGAUCGGGAGGAAUACCAGUGGCGAAGGCGGCCUUCUGGACUGACACUGACACUGAGGUGCGAAAGCGUGGGUAGCAAACAGGAUUAGAUACCCUAGUAGUC
RNAcentral lists this ribosomal RNA (465 nucleotides) under Vreelandella stevensii. RNAcentral's name for it is "partial 16S ribosomal RNA". It matches the Rfam family "Bacterial small subunit ribosomal RNA", at positions 338 to 795 of the family's 1533-position model. Lineage: Bacteria; Pseudomonadati; Pseudomonadota; Gammaproteobacteria; Oceanospirillales; Halomonadaceae. The record is from RNAcentral.